UUUUUUUUUUUUUUUUUUCCUGGAGGGGUAAUAAAAUGAAAUGGGUGAAACAAAGCCAUAAGCCAGUUAAGUCUGAAAGACAUGUCAUCUCAUCUAAAAGGAAGAAACGGACCAUUUCCAUGCCUAAGGCUGACAGCAACGCCUGAGCUGGCAAUAGUGCUAUUCCAUUUGAUUUAUAGAAUAAUGGGGUGACAAAUGACGACAAAAAUAAACUUUUACUGCACUGAACUGCUCCUUUAUUUAUGAAAUUUGGCCAAGUAGUGAAAUCUUUUAUCUGCAAGUUGUAACAUGGAGUGGGAACGAGCGAUUAUGGUGUGGUAAUAGUAAUCCAGCGAUGGAGGCUGAGUCAGUUGGAAAUGGAUUGAGGUAAAAUAACUACCGCACCAUGAUAAAUGUGAACAGCGCUUUGCUGACAGAUGAUCUAACAGGUGUUCAUAACAACUAUAUAAGAGGAUUUAUUUAUGACCAGCCACAGCCGCAGCACUGUAAAUCAACUCCAGCAGCUGCACACCGCUGAAACCAAGUCCCUGAUGGAGGAAUGGUGCAAGAGCCCAAAGAACACAAUUCACUCCAGAAUCUUAAUCAUCAAAUAACAUUUUUUUAGGUAAUUACACCACAGCACAGAAAUCAUAAUUACUUUCAAUUAGAAAACUGAGCUGCCCAUAACUUUGUUUACAAAAUAUUUUUACUUAGGCCCCAUGGUUUUGAUGAGGCCCGAGCAAAAUGGAGACUCUGGGGUCAUGGAAAGAGCACUCCUGGGUGUUAGCAGUUUCAAUGUGAGGCCAAUAGGAGGCCCUCUCGGGAUGGCUUGAUAUUUUAAACCAAGAAUCAAAUUUCAAACUGGGAGGGUACUGGGUUUCCCCCAAAAGUCUGCAUUAACUUCCCCUGGAGCAGUGUGUUUGGGUUCAUGUCUUACCCCUUUGUGGUCAUUCCUAACUUUAUACAGUUUACUAACACAGGGACUGGGCAUGUAACAAUGAACUCAUUAGAAGUGGGAAGUUCAAAUUUAGCCCGAGGGGCCCAUCUUCAUACAACCCUUUUUAAUUAUUUUGCAAAGGAAAAAUUUAGUAUUUUUCUUUUUGUAGGCCAUGGUCUUAAUUCCUUACUAUUAUCCACGGAGAUGGCUGACCCUACUGUUAAACAAGAGUCUUUACAUUCAUCACAUUGCUUAAACCCCAACCCCCCCAAAUUUGGUUCUUACAUGAGUGAGAAGAUGUUUUGCAAGGAACAAAUCAGAAUCUUGUUCAGCUACAGUUUGAAAGCUAAUCUAUUUUACCUCCUUCCGUCUUAUAUUAUGAAACUCACCCCUUGGCAACCCCUCCAUGGCCAGUUAAUGAGAAGUGAGGUGAGGUAAGGCUUCCCGGUUCUCUCCAAGCACACAUGCAGCAUCUGCAGUCUUCAAGGGUUUACAUGCAUGAGCCCACUGGCAAAAUUAUCUACUGGUUAGGCCUUCUAAACAUCUCUACAUCUGAGAAUAAAGAUUCUUCUACACUGGGGCACCUGGUUGGCUCGGCCAAUAGAGCAUGCAACUCUUGAACUCGGGUUGUGAGUUUGAGUGCCACUUGAGUGCCACUUUCUUACUUAAGAAAAUUCUCCUACACUUCAGCCUCAUUUUUGGUGGUGCUCAAGGUUGUAGAUGAGAAAGCAAUGUCUUAGAAGAUCAUUAAAGACAGGCUUGAGUCUGUUGUAAUAAUUCCAUAUUUGAGUUCUAAGAGGCUUGGGUCUUCAGUGAACACAUAUAUUGAAGCAGCCAGGAAUUACAUGUGCAAAUGACUAUGGACAUCAAAUUGGGUCCAGAGAAAGACAUGAGAGAAGAUUAGGCAUCACUUAAACACAUGAUCACUUAACCAGUGAAUAGAUACCAAUGCAAUUUCAUAUUCUUUCACUACUCUGAAACCCCAAAAGACUCAUUUUAGAACCUGGAAAUAAUUGAAAAGUACAGGAAAUAACUAACAUUGCCAAGGAAAUAUCUAAACUUGGCUUACAAGUGGGAGAGUAGAACCAACAAAGCCAAUCUCUCCCAAUCUCUAGUUCACUGCUUCCUAACUUCCUUUUUCUCGCCUCUUUUUCAAGCAUGGGCCCCAGCAUAGGCAUGGCAACCAUUCCCUUCUCUGAACUCCCACCACCCCUGAGCUGGAGACCUGGGGGAUAGUGUCAGGGACAUAGCCUGGGAAUGAAAAAGGGCAACAUGGGGGUACAGAGAAAGGUGUGUGGGUAACGUUGCUCUGUACAAAGGUACAUUUUAAGAGACAGCCUUUUGUCUGUUGAGACACUAUUUUUUCUUCUUCCACUCCUAGAAACUCUUUGCUCUUCUAAAUGCCAGCCAACUUUAAAGACCUAGCUAGCUUCAUUGCCUCAGUUGAAACUUCUCAGACCUCUCUAACCCAGUGAACACUUCUCCCCCUUAAAUCCAAUAGCUCUUACUGGCGUGAUAGGACUAUCCAGGCAACUGCCUCACAACUCUUUCCAGAAACGAUUUCAGCUUUCAAACAGCUAUGUUCCAAGUUUUUGGUCAAGUGAUCAUGUGAAGCCUAAAACGUUUUUAUUCAAAAGACAAUUUCCCAUGGUAGUUAACUUACCAGGUCAGGUCUUAAAAUAGUGCUUAUGCCAUAACACAGUUGAAAAAUGGUAGGAAAAAAAAUGUUACCAAGAUGGAAAGAGUAAAGCCUUCAUUUACUCAUACUGAACGUUAUUUGUCAGAAAGUCGCAUAAAGAAAGGAGAUGGAGACUGUGAAGAUCCAGGAACAAAUUUCUGGUCCAUUUAACAGCAUGUUUUCCUAUUAAACACAAUUUCUACUCAUCUAGGAGUAUAACACUAUCAUAACCUUUUUUUUUUUUUUUGGUUCCUCUAAAAUCUCAAGAA
RNAcentral lists this long non-coding RNA (2863 nucleotides) under Canis lupus familiaris (dog). RNAcentral's name for it is "lncRNA (ENSCAFG00845008696.1)". The record is from RNAcentral. Lineage: Eukaryota; Metazoa; Chordata; Mammalia; Carnivora; Canidae.